RNAcentral lists this small RNA (132 nucleotides) under Salmonella enterica subsp. enterica serovar Enteritidis. RNAcentral's name for it is "RtT sRNA". It matches the Rfam family "RtT RNA". From Rfam's summary of the family: This family represents a bacterial cis-regulatory element known as RtT RNA. The exact function of RtT is unknown although it is thought that it may be involved in changing the cellular response in relation to amino acid starvation. Lineage: Bacteria; Pseudomonadati; Pseudomonadota; Gammaproteobacteria; Enterobacterales; Enterobacteriaceae. The record is from RNAcentral.
AUAUCUCUCUGUACGGGAAGGAUGAGAAGCUUCGACUAAGGUUCGAUUCGAGCGCCAGCGAGAAAGCGUUGCCGCAGGCAACGACCCGAAGGGCGAAGCGCGCAGCGCUGAGUCAUCCUUCCCCCACCACCA